MicroRNA precursor from Ciona intestinalis (vase tunicate), 119 nucleotides. NCBI's taxonomy places the organism in Eukaryota, Metazoa, Chordata, Ascidiacea, Phlebobranchia, Cionidae. The record is from Ensembl.
UUUCACGUGAUUCUGAGGCAGUGUAGUUAGCUAGUUGUUUUCUUGCCGAGAUGGACUUGCAUCCCGAACGGUUUAUUUCGAACAACUGCUUUUUGCACUACCACGGAAAUCACUUGACU